CUUUAUUAAUUAUCUUUAUCAAGCCACGCCCAAAGUUCUUGCCCACGCAGUCCACGUGUGUAAAAUGGUGUCUAAUUCAUCGUGUGAAGAAAACUUUUAUACCCCAACUAGUCUGUCUAGUCAUGAUGAUGAAACUACUGUUCCUAUUGUGUUUAGGGGCCAUCAUCUUCCAGUACACGAUACUACCUGACAGAGGAGGAUAAAGGAGGAGCUACUGGUACUAAAACGGGACAGAUUUGUAUCUGGAACUUAUACAGGAAGAGAAUCAACGGAGAAUUUGUGUUAUGUCCAAGACUAUUAUUACUAGGAAUGGAGUCUGGAGAGAGGGACAGGAUUGUCAGUCUUAGUAAAAAUGGUUGCAUAGCAUUGUGGGAUGGUAAAGAUGGGACGUGUCUUAAGACUGUUAAUAAUUAUGGAAAUGGAAUGCAUUAUGGAAUAAAGCUGCAGGUGUGGAGUCUAUCAUUGGUAAGCUUCAUUGAGAGGAAGGUUCUGCCGCUCCUGAUUUCAAGUCUCAUUUCACUGGCUCUCUCUCUGACUCAUGGCAGUCCCCAGCCACUCCUUGUUCCCUUAUUGACUCAGUUUAUCCCAGUAUCAGUGCUGGUCCUUCUUCCAAUAUUACUGUUUCUUUAUUUUUGACACAAUUUGGUUGGUUGAUCUGUG
This 660-nucleotide unclassified non-coding RNA is filed under the name Amphimedon queenslandica. RNAcentral's name for it is "uncharacterized LOC109589138, transcript variant X1". The record is from RNAcentral. Lineage: Eukaryota; Metazoa; Porifera; Demospongiae; Haplosclerida; Niphatidae.